Molecule: ribosomal RNA, 253 nt
Filed under: uncultured bacterium
Lineage: Bacteria
Description: partial 16S ribosomal RNA
Rfam family: Bacterial small subunit ribosomal RNA
Source: RNAcentral
UACAGAGGGUGCAAGCGUUGUUCGGAAUCAUUGGGCGUAAAGCGCACGUAGGCGGUUUUGCAAGUUGGAUGUGAAAGCCCGGAGCUUAACUUCGGAAGUGCAUCCAAAACUGCAUGACUUGAGUCCCGGAGAGGAUAGUGGAAUUCCCGGUGUAGAGGUGAAAUUCGUAGAUAUCGGGAGGAACACCAGUGGCGAAGGCGACUAUCUGGACGGAGACUGACGCUGAGGUGCGAAAGCGUGGGGAGCAAACAGG